AGAGUUUGAUCCUGGCUUAGAUUGAACGCUGGCGGCAGGCCUAACACAUGUAAGUCGAACGUGAAAGCUUUUUCGGGAGUUAGUAGAGUGGCGAACGGGUGAGUAACGCGUAGGAAUUUACUUAGGAGUGGGGGACAAUUCGAGGAAACUCGGGCUAAUACCGCAUAUGUCUUACGGGGUAAAGUGGGGGAUCUUUCGGGGCCUUGCGCUUCUGGAUGAGCUUGCGUCGGAUUAGCUUGUUGGUAGGGUAACGGCCUACCAAGGCGACGAUCUGUAGCUGGUCUGAGAGGAUGAUCAGUUACACUGGGACUGAGACACGGUCCAGACUUUUACGGGAGGCAGCAGUGGGGAAUAUUGGACAAUGGGUGCAAGCCUGAUCCAGCCAUGUCGCGUGUGUGAAGAAGGCUUUCGGGUUGUAAAGCACUUUUAGUGGGGAAGAAAAGCCUGGGGUUAAUACUUUUGAGUCUUGACGGUACCCACAGAAGAAGCACCGGUUAAUUCCGUGCCAGCAGUCGCGGUAAUAUGGAAGGUGCAAGCGUUAAUCGGAAUCACUGGGUGUAAAGCGUGCGUAGGUGGUUUGGUAAGUCAGAUGUGAAAGCUUUGGGCUUAACCUGGGAACUGCAUUUGAUACUGCCUCACUGGAGUGUAGUAGAGGGAAGCGGAAUUCCACAUGUAGCGGUGAAAUGCGUAGAGAUGUGGAGGAACACCAAUGGCGAAGGCAGCUUUCUGGACUAACACUGACGCUGAGGUGCGAAAGCGUGGGGAGCAAACAGAAUUAGAUAUCCUGGUAGUCCACGCUGUAAACGAUGAGAACUAGUUGUUGGGAGCAUCUGGCUCUUAGUGGCGCAGCUAACGUGAUAAGUUCUCUGCUUGGGGAGUAUGGCUGCAAGGUUAAAACUCAAAGGAAUUGACGGGGGUUUGCACAAGUGGUGGAGCAUGUGGUUUAAUUCGAUGCAACGCGAAGAACCUUACCUGCCCUUGACAUCUUGGGAACUUUCUAGAGAUAGAAAGGUGCCUUCGGGAACCCAGUGACAGGUGCUGCAUGGCUGUCGUCAGCUUGUGUCGUGAGAUGUUGGGUUAAGUUUCGUAACGAGCGCAACCUUUGUCCUUAGUUGCCAGCGGUUCGGCCGGGGAUUCUAAGGAGACUGCCGGUGACAAACCGGAGGAAGGUGGGGAUGACGUCAAGUCAUCAUGGCUUUUAUGGGCAGGGCUAUACACGUGCUACAAUGGGCGGUACAGAGGGAAGUCAACCCGUGAGGGGGAGCCAAUUCCAUAAAACCGUUCGUAGUCUGGAUUGCAGUCUGCAACUCGACUGCAUGAAGUCGGAAUCGCUAGUAAUCGCGGAUCAGAACGCCGCGGUGAAUACGUUCCCGGGCCUUGUACACACCGCCCGUCACACCAUGGGAGUGGGUUGUACCAGAAGUAGGUAGUCUAACCUUCGGGAGGACGCUUACCAUGGUAUGGUUCAUGACUGGGGUGAAGUCGUAACA
RNAcentral lists this ribosomal RNA (1490 nucleotides) under uncultured Gammaproteobacteria bacterium. Its description in RNAcentral is "bacterial SSU rRNA". It matches the Rfam family "Bacterial small subunit ribosomal RNA". Lineage: Bacteria; Pseudomonadati; Pseudomonadota; Gammaproteobacteria. The record is from RNAcentral.